UCUAUAAUAGUUUAAAAAAAAUUUUAAGUUGUGGACUUAAAGAUGAAAUGUUUUCUUACAAAA
This 63-nucleotide transfer RNA is filed under the name Limnoria quadripunctata. RNAcentral's name for it is "tRNA-His". Lineage: Eukaryota; Metazoa; Arthropoda; Malacostraca; Isopoda; Limnoriidae. The record is from RNAcentral.